Pelobates cultripes (western spadefoot toad) is the source of this 242-nucleotide non-coding RNA. The record is from the annotation of a GenBank genome assembly. NCBI's taxonomy places the organism in Eukaryota, Metazoa, Chordata, Amphibia, Anura, Pelobatidae.
GCUUCAGAAGCCCGUGCAUACCCUUCGGCUUCCGCUGAUGGGUUUGACACAGAUGAUUUCUAAGAAAGUCAGCCACUACCUCGCCACAACCGUCCGGCCCGUGCUCCCAUGCAGUCUAGUAACCCUCCCACCACUUCCCGCCGGUACCAGGGACCAGAUCAGGCCCAUUUAGAUUUACUGCAAUAGGUAACCGGCAAGCCUGUGUCAGCAACCCCUGCCAUGGCAGUGUCUGCGGGGGAGGG